RNAcentral lists this ribosomal RNA (1363 nucleotides) under human gut metagenome. RNAcentral's name for it is "bacterial LSU rRNA". It matches the Rfam family "Bacterial large subunit ribosomal RNA", at positions 1575 to 2925 of the family's 2925-position model. The record is from RNAcentral.
GGCGCAAGCCCUGAAGCCGUUGAGUCUAUGCUGCCUAGAAAAGCUCCUAAGUAUAUCCGCAGCAAUCCGUACCGCAAACCAACUCAGGUGGGUGGGAUGAACAAUCCAAGGCGCUCGAGAGAACUCUGGCCAAGGAACUCGGCAAAAUAACCCCGUAACUUCGGAAGAAGGGGUGCUCUCUAGGGUGACAUGUUCAACAUAUGAAGCCCCGGAGAGCCGCAGUGAAUUGGUGGUGGCGACUGUUUACUAAAAACAUAGGUCUGUGCGAAGUCCUAAAGACGACGUAUACGGACUGACGCCUGCCCGGUGCUGGAAGGUUAAAAGGAGGAGUCAGCGCAAGCAAAGCUCCGAAUUGAAGCCCCAGUAAACGGCGGCCGUAACUAUAACGGUCCUAAGGUAGCGAAAUUCCUUGUCGGGUAAGUUCCGACCUGCACGAAUGGCGUAACGAUCUCCACACUGUCUCGGCCAGAGACUCGGUGAAAUUGCAGUCGCGGUGAAAAUUCCGUGUACCCGCAGAAAGACGGAAAGACCCUGUGCACCUUUACUAUAGCUUGACAUUGGAUUUUGGGCCUGCAUGUGUAGGAUAGGUGGGAGGCUGUGAACCCUGUACGCCAGUAUGGGGGGAGCCAUCGUUGAAAUACCACCCUUGCAUGUUUAAGAUCCUAACUUCUUCCGGUCAUCCCGGAGAAAGACAGUGUCUGGCGGGUAGUUUGACUGGGGCGGUCGCCUCCUAAAGUGUAACGGAGGCAUGCAAAGGUUCCCUCAGCCUGAUCGGAAACCAGGCGCUGAGUGCAAACGCAUAAGGGAGCUUGACUGUAAGAGAGACAUCUCGAACAGGAACGAAAGUUGGCGUUAGUGAUCCGGUGGUCCCGAAUGGAAGGGCCAUCGCUCAUUGGAUAAAAGGUACGCCGGGGAUAACAGGCUGAUCGCAUCCAAGAGUUCACAUCGACGAUGCGGUUUGGCACCUCGAUGUCGGCUCAUCACAUCCUGGGGCUGAAGCAGGUCCCAAGGGUACGGCUGUUCGCCGUUUAAAGUGGUACGCGAGCUGGGUUUAAAACGUCGUGAGACAGUUUGGUCCCUAUCUUCUGUGGGCGAAGGAGAAUUGAGAGGGCCUGUCCCUAGUACGAGAGGACCGGGAUGGACGCACCCCUGGUGAUCCUGUUGUCGCGCCAGCGGCACAGCAGGGUAGCUAUGUGCGGAAGGGAUAACCGCUGAAAGCAUCUAAGCGGGAAGCCUGCCUCAAGAUAAGUUCUCCCCUCGAAAGAGCUGAAGGGCCCGGGUAGACUACCCGGUCGAUAGGCUGGAGGUGUAAGCGCGGCGACGCGCUCAGCUGACCAGUACUAAUAGCCCGAGCGGCUUAUUU